GAAGUAGUUCUGAGCUAAAUAUAAUUGCAAUGUUGGUUGCUUAAAUCUGGUGUGGCAAAACCUUACCCCAAAAUGUAUUUAGGGGUGAUAGGCCUCUCAAAAACUAAGAUAUCUUGAUUUCAAUUAAAUGUAUUUAGUACAAUCUAUACAUUUAUUAAGUGGUUAGGCUUAGUAAUAAUAUAAAUUUAUAUGUACUAUCAUUAUUACGUUAUAAUAUAUAAAUAUAUGCAAAAUAAUAUCAUUCUUCUUUUGAAGCUUAUAUAUAGUAAUUGAAUAUGGUUAAGCUAAUAUAUCUCUUAAUAAUGUUAGUAUUAGUAUACAUGUAAGUUUUUUGUAAGGAACUCGGCAAGCUACUUCUCAACUGUUUAUCAAAAACAUAACUAUAUGGAUUCAUAUAUAGCGUUAUCUGCUCAAUGAUUGGUUAAAUAGCCGCAGUAUACUGACUGUGCUAAGGUAGCAUAAUCAAUUGGCUUAUAAUUGAAGUCUGGAAUGAAGGAAAGUAUGGGGAGUUACUGUCUCACAUUGAUACGGAGAAUUUUUUUAUGAAGUGAAAAUCCUUCUCUUUAUAUAAUAGACGAGAAGACCCUAGAAAUUUUUAGUAAUAUUGGAGUAUUAUUUUCAGUAAUUUUUUCGCUGGGGCGGCGGAGUAGCAUGAAACCUACUUAUACAGACCUGUGCCUUGUAUGGCAAUUGAUUAAUUUACUCUAGGGAUAACAGCAUAAUAUUUUAAAGUUUGUGACCUCGAUGUUGGACUAGGAUAUAAUAGCCUAAAAGGUUUUUUAUAGUGCUCUGUUCGAGCAAAGACUCCUACAUGAUC
Molecule: ribosomal RNA, 817 nt
Filed under: Euhadra senckenbergiana
Lineage: Eukaryota; Metazoa; Mollusca; Gastropoda; Stylommatophora; Camaenidae
Description: partial 16S ribosomal RNA
Source: RNAcentral